GUGCUCGCUUUGCCAGCACAUAUACUAAAAUAGGAACAAUACAGAGAAAAUAGCAUGGCCUCUGUGGAAGAAUGAUGUGUAAAUUCGUGAAGUGUUUCAUAUUCUU
Molecule: small nuclear RNA, 106 nt
Organism: Mesocricetus auratus (golden hamster)
Lineage: Eukaryota; Metazoa; Chordata; Mammalia; Rodentia; Cricetidae
Source: Ensembl